This 213-nucleotide ribosomal RNA is filed under the name Pseudomonas aeruginosa. RNAcentral's name for it is "partial 23S ribosomal RNA". It matches the Rfam family "Bacterial large subunit ribosomal RNA", at positions 2718 to 2925 of the family's 2925-position model. The record is from RNAcentral. RNAcentral also lists the same sequence under 23 other names. Lineage: Bacteria; Pseudomonadati; Pseudomonadota; Gammaproteobacteria; Pseudomonadales; Pseudomonadaceae.
GGGUUGUCAUGCCAAUGGCACUGCCCGGUAGCUAAAUGCGGAAGAGAUAAGUGCUGAAAGCAUCUAAGCACGAAACUUGCCCCGAGAUGAGUUCUCCCUGAGACUUUAAGUCUCCUGAAGGAACGUUGAAGACGACGACGUUGAUAGGCCGGGUGUGUAAGCGCAGCGAUGCGUUGAGCUAACCGGUACUAAUGAACCGUGAGGCUUAACCUU